UGAAAGAUUCAUCCAUUUUUUUUUUUCGUAUAUCUUUUUUUCAAUAUCCAUCCUCUCUUUCAAUCAUUCAUACCAAAUAGAAGAUUAACGUCGCUGGAUAAGAUUGCCUCGUUAUUGAUAUGCUUUAAAUAUCAGUACGCAAGCGUUGGAGUCUUCCUGAAUCCAAAGCCCGUUAUCAAUUGCAGCUGUACACCUAACCAGGCGGCGUUCAACUCAGCCAAAGAUUUAACCAACAUUAGCGCCGUGAAUGAUUGAUUUAUGUUCCCACCCACAGCUAACCCGGAAACAAAGGCUCUGUGAUGGCAUGUGAGGGUGUCAGAGAAGUCAUCCAUGUAAAAGAGGCUUCCAAGCAGGAGAUGCCACCUCCAGAAUCAUGUGCUUUGUUCCAGAACUCUUUUAUCUAAAAAGUCCUGUGACCGGAGAAUGGGGAAUGACCAUCUAGUUUCCAUCAAAUAAAAAAUGGCCAUCUCGUCUCCCCGAUUGCUCCUCAAAGUACGGGGAAAAUUUUGAUCACUUGUAAACGAGCUCAUGCCGGCUAUGGAUUAAAAAACGCAACAAGCUCAUCAGGGCACGCUCAGCACUUCACAUGGUCCCUUCGACCUCGUUAAGUCGGAACAGGUCUGUUUCAGCUAAAGCUGGCACUGGUCGAUGCAACGGUGAUCCGUCAACCUUUAGUAACAUGGCACGUGCAUUAGCAACCAACUCACAAGACCUUACUUUUCGUAGCUCAAGACCGUUCAUGAUUCCUUCAAAGAAAAGACCUCUUAUCAUUAAUUUAUCACCAGAAAUAUGUACGGUUAAUCCUUCACAUAUGGUUCCGCUCCUCGAUCUUCAAUCUUCGCAGCUCAAGAGCUAGAUGUGGUUCAAAAGGCGACCAUCUUACUCGGAUCUUGAUCCUACUUAUUGGUGACAAGUUUCACCUUGAUUCUCCUUUCGUUUACAUCGUUAUAAAAUCAAAAAAAUGUAACUGCAGAGAUUUUCUUUUUCUUCUUUUUUUUUCUUUCUUUCUAUCUUUUUUUUCAGGGGAUGCAAAGAGACCAACCCUUACUGUAAUUAUCUAAGCCCAAAUUUAUUACAAAUACACUAUACCAAAAUCAAAUUAGAAACUUGUUAA
Molecule: long non-coding RNA, 1114 nt
Organism: Elaeis guineensis (African oil palm)
Lineage: Eukaryota; Viridiplantae; Streptophyta; Magnoliopsida; Arecales; Arecaceae
Source: RefSeq, a predicted model, not a curated record